Phascolarctos cinereus (koala) is the source of this 256-nucleotide non-coding RNA. NCBI's taxonomy places the organism in Eukaryota, Metazoa, Chordata, Mammalia, Diprotodontia, Phascolarctidae. The record is from RefSeq and is a predicted model, not a curated record.
CUUUGUCACACUGCAUAGCAGAGUUUAGCAAUUCUGAGAGAUCGGCAUGACAAGUUGGGGCAUUUAUGAGAUGUUUCAGGUGCUGGAGGUGAUCCCUACUAGCCCCAAAGACUUGGGAAUUUGAGCCAUGAUGACCUUGGAGCCAGGAUUCCAGGUGGUUAAAAAUGUCAGCUGUUGUAAAACAAUGAGAACUGGGAAGAAUUCAUUGAAUUAUUCCAGGAGCAGAUCAUUGGGGACAUUUGUGAAAGCAAUUUCA